CACAUGCUGUGAACUCGAAGAGUAGGGCGGGACACGUGGUAUCCUGUCUGAAUAUGGGGGGACCAUCCUCCAAGGCUAAAUACUCCUGACUGACCGAUAGUGAACCAGUACCGUGAGGGAAAGGCGAAAAGAACCCCGGCGAGGGGAGUGAAAAAGAACCUGAAACCGUGUACGUACAAGCAGUGGGAGCCUCUUUAUGGGGUGACUGCGUACCUUUUGUAUAAUGGGUCAGCGACUUAUAUUCUGUAGCAAGGUUAACCGUAUAGGGGAGCCGAAGGGAAACCGAGUCUUAACUGGGCGUUAAGUUGCAGGGUAUAGACCCGAAACCCGGUGAUCUAGCCAUGGGCAGGUUGAAGGUUGGGUAACACUAACUGGAGGACCGAACCGACUAAUGUUGAAAAAUUAGCGGAUGACCUGUGGCUGGGGGUGAAAGGCCAAUCAAACCGGGAGAUAGCUGGUUCUCCCCGAAAGCUAUUUAGGUAGCGCCUCGUGAACUCAUCUUCGGGGGUAGAGCACUGUUUCGGCUAGGGGGCCAUCCCGGCUUACCAACCCGAUGCAAACUACGAAUACCGAAGAAUGUUAUCACGGGAGACACACGGCGGGUGCUAACGUCCGUCGUGAAGAGGGAAACAACCCAGACCGCCAGCUAAGGUCCCAAAGUCAUGGUUAAGUGGGAAACGAUGUGGGAAGGCACAGACAGCCAGGAUGUUGGCUUAGAAGCAGCCAUCAUUUAAAGAAAGCGUAAUAGCUCACUGGUCGAGUCGGCCUGCGCGGAAGAUGUAACGGGGCUAAACCAUGCACCGAAGCUGCGGCAGCGAC
This 819-nucleotide ribosomal RNA is filed under the name Enterobacter hormaechei. Its description in RNAcentral is "partial 23S ribosomal RNA". It matches the Rfam family "Bacterial large subunit ribosomal RNA", at positions 391 to 1212 of the family's 2925-position model. Lineage: Bacteria; Pseudomonadati; Pseudomonadota; Gammaproteobacteria; Enterobacterales; Enterobacteriaceae. The record is from RNAcentral. RNAcentral also lists the same sequence under 2 other names.